This 327-nucleotide ribosomal RNA is filed under the name uncultured bacterium. Its description in RNAcentral is "partial 16S ribosomal RNA". It matches the Rfam family "Bacterial small subunit ribosomal RNA", at positions 355 to 674 of the family's 1533-position model. The record is from RNAcentral.
UGGGGAAUAUUGGACAAUGGGCGAAAGCCUGAUCCAGCCAUGCCGCGUGUGUGAAGAAGGUCUUCGGAUUGUAAAGCACUUUAAGUUGGGAGGAAGGGCAGUAAAUUAAUACUUUGCUGUUUUGACGUUACCGACAGAAUAAGCACCGGCUAACUCUGUGCCAGCAGCCGCGGUAAUACAGAGGGUGCAAGCGUUAAUCGGAAUUACUGGACGUAAAGCGCGCGUAGGUGGUUCGUUAAGUUGGAUGUGAAAUCCCCGGGCUCAACCUGGGAACUGCAUUCAAAACUGACGAGCUAGAGUAUGGUAGAGGGUGGUGGAAUUUCCUGU